AAUUUCCCCGCCUCUUUCUCUCCCCUCCGUAUCUCCACUAUUCGCUUCUUAUCUCCGCUAUCCACUUCAUCCUUCUACAACGUCAUGAAGCUGCAGAGUUCAGGUUUCUUCCAUUCCUCAAAACCCUCUCUCCUCCACUCAAAUCACCGCAUCCGCAGUCAUUCAUUGUUCAUCCCUUCUUCCCCAUUUCGGCUCUCUCUUCCGUUCCAUUGCCGAAACCACCCCGGACUUUUCUACUUACGCUCAAACCCUAAUUCUCAGAUUUAUGCUCAGAAGGAAUUUUGUGCCCGGGAACUGAACAUCGUAGUCGAUGAGUUCGUGGAAACUGGUUGUUCUGAUUUGCCUGUAGAACUUUGCUUGACGCGAACUUUGGACCCAGCUCUGACCCUUAUGCAGGCCGUAAAUGCGAUGAAAGAGGCGGUCAAUAAGCUGAAGAUAGAUCCUCCCUGCUCGAGGAGUGGUGUGCUGAGGUUUCAGAUUGUUGUACCUCCUAGUGUCAAAUCGUUGAAUUGGUUGUACUUGCAAUGUAAGUCGUUAGCUCCUUUUCCUCAAAUUUAUGUUGCAACAACAAAAAUGCAUGAGCGGUUCAAUGGGCUUACAAUAACAACUCAAAUGCUUGGAGUUUCUGGAGUUGGGUCAGCAAUUACAUUUUGUGGGUCUUCAGGCGUCCUCAGAGGAUAUAAUUUGAUGGAAAGAUACCUUUCCCUUGAAUCACCUCUUAUAAGUGCUUACGGGUUCAUUGGAAUUGAUUGGAACAUGGAAUCGAAAAAAAUGUUUAAUCACCCUGGUUCAUUUUAUUUUUUUAUCCCUCAGAUAGAGGUGAAUGAAUUUGAGAAUGUUUCUUUCCUGGCAUCAAAUUUGGUUUGGGAUAAUUCCUUAUCAUACCCAUUAGAGGAAGCAGUCCAUUCCUUGGAGAGAAGUCUCAACCAGAUUAAUGUCCAUGUUUCCUCUGCGAGCACUCUCGUUGUUGACAAGUGGAACUGGUUUGAAGGUCAAUCAGGCAUUGAAGGGAAGGAGGACUUUAAAAUGGUGCACAUAAACGCUGAAACUCUCCAAAAAAUGCACGCCAGUGGGAGAUUUUCUUCAUUGGAAGAGCUCACAGGUACUGACAAAUCUUAUUAUAGGAAUUCAACAACAGUCAUUGUCAGCAAGAACAUGUUCAGACUUCCUCAUGGGACAAGUAAGAUAAAGGAGUGCACAAACAUCAAUCUUUUAUGGGCAUCACUUAUAGUCGAAGAAUGUGUCCGGCUUGGUUUGAAGUACUUCUGUAUAGCUCCAGGUUCAAGAUCAUCUCCACUUGCACUUUCUGCUUGUAGCCAUUCUCUUACUACUUGCAUAUCUUGUUAUGAUGAGCGUUCACUUGCCUUUCAUGCUCUUGGGUAUGCAAGGGGAUCGCAUAAGCCUGCGGUUAUUAUAACAUCAUCAGGAACUGCUGUGUCAAAUCUGUUUCCUGCGGUUGUGGAAGCUAGUCAGGAUUUUGUGCCUCUCCUUAUGCUUACAGCUGAUAGGCCUCCUGAACUACAGGAUGUUGGCGCUAACCAAGCCAUCGAUCAGGUCAAUCAUUUUGGAAAAUUUGUGAGGUUCUUCUACAGCUUUCCACCACCUUCUGAUCAAAUCCCUGCAAGAAUGGUCCUCACAACCAUUGAUUCUGCCGUAUAUAGUGCAACUCAAUCCUUAUGUGGCCCUGUACAUCUUAACUGCCCUUUCAGGGAGCCACUGGAAGAUGUUCCUAAAGAAUGGGCUACUGAUUGUUUGAGAGGACUAGAUUUAUGGAUGUCAAAGGAAGAACCUUUUACCCAAUACAUAAAAAUUCAGCAUGCCUGGGGUCAUUGUUAUGAUCAGAUGGCCAAGGUUCUAGAUGUGAUACAUAAUGCUAACCAAGGCCUACUGCUACUUGGUGCUAUAAACACUGAUGAUGAAAUUUGGGCUGCACUUCUUUUAGCCAAACACCUGUCCUGGCCAGUUGUUCCUGAUGUUCUCUCAGGUCUACGAUUGCGCAAACUACUGACCUCAUGCCCGGGUAUUGAAGAUGACUUUCUAUUUCUUGAUCAUUUAGAUCAUGUUCUUCUAUCAGAAUCUGUCAAGAGCUGGCUACAACCAGAUGUGGUGGUUCAGAUUGGCAGCAGGAUUACAAGUAAGCGUGUCAGUCAAUUGCUUGACUCAUGCUCUCCAUUUGUAUAUAUCUUUGUAGACAAGCAUCCCAAUCGACAAGAUCCUUCUCACCUUGUCACACAUAGGGUUCAAUGCAGCAUUGUUGAAUUUACUGAACUUGUCCUGGUUGACAAAUGCCCAAAAAGAGGGAGGAAGUGGAGUCUGCUUUUAAAGGAAUUAAAUCUGAUGGUUGCAAUGGAGAUAUCAUUUCAAAUAUAUUCUGAAAUCUCUUUAACCGAGCCAUAUGUUGCACAUCUUGUUGGACAAGUCCUUAGAGGUGAUACUGCAUUAUUUAUUGGGAAUAGCAUGGCCAUACGGGAUAUGGACAUGUAUGGAAAGGGCUGGCUGAAACCUAACCAUGAUUCUGUUUUCAUGGAAACUAGUUGCAAUCUGGCAUUCAUGGGAUUGCGUGUAUCUGGAAACAGGGGAGCUAGCGGUAUUGAUGGUCUUCUUAGCAGUUCCAUUGGUUUUGCUGUAGGAAGCAAAAAACGUGUUGUAUGUGUGAUUGGUGAUGUAUCAUUUCUUCAUGAUACCAAUAGCUUGGCAAUUCUUAGCAAUAGGACAAGGAGAAAACCAAUGACGAUAAUUGUCAUAAACAAUCAUGGUGGAGCAAUCUUCAGUCUUCUGCCUAUCGCUAGUAGGACACAGGAAAGCGUGUUAAACCAAUACUUUUACACAUCACAUAAUAUAUCAAUUGGAAAGCUAUGCAGUGCUCACAGAGUGAAGCAUUUACUGGUGCAGACAAAAAUGGAACUGCAGCAUGCUUUGCACGAAUCACAGCAAGAUUAUGGUGAUUUUGUAAUAGAAGUUGAGAGUUGCAUUACAGAUAAUGCUAAGUUUCACAGCAUCGUAAGGAAGUCUUCUGGUCAAGCUGCUGAUCAAGCAUUUAGAGCCCUUUCUGUGACUCCAAUGACUGAAAUUGUCACUGAUAGCCUGUCUAUUUGUAAGAUCUGUAAUGUGGAGUACUCACUAUAUAGAAUCCAACUUUGUGCUCCAACUUCAACUCAGAUGAAACAUUAUAGAAAAGAUUUCUAUCAUGAAGGCUUUGUUCUUGCAAUAUCAUUGGAUGACAACAUUGUAGGAUAUGGCGAGAUAGCUCCAAUAGAAAUUCACAAAGAGAAUUUGUUGGACGUUGAAGAACAGCUGAGAUUUCUUGUUCAUGUAAUGGAAGGAGCUGAACUAAGUUGUCUUCUUCCGUUGCUUAGGGGCUCUUUUUCUCGUUGGAUAUGGAAAAUCUUGGGUAUUCCACCCUCCUCUGUCUUUCCAAGUGUAAGAUGUGGCAUGGAAAUGGCUAUACUUAAUGCAUUAGCAAAAAGGCAGGGUUCUAGCUUGUCAGGCUUCAUUGGAUAUGAGAGCUUCUUGUUAGGUACACAAAAAGUAGCUGAUAAAAACAUAUGCAAAGAAGAGGGAAUACCAAUCUGUGCACUUGUGGAUUGUGAUGGAACUCCCAAUGUGGUAGCUCAUGUUGUUUCUCAGCUGUUUCAUGACGGUUUUACUACGGUAAAGAUCAAGGUUGCACGACGAGAAGACCCUACUGAAGAUGCUGCUGUUAUCAGUGAAAUCAGAGCAGUUAUUGGCUAUAAAAUUAAUAUUCGUGUGGAUGCAAACCGCAAAUGGAGCUAUGACAAGGCAUUUCAUUUUGGGUCUUCUGUUAAAAGCUUUGCAUUAGAAUACAUUGAGGAACCUGUAUGUUUUGAAGAUGAUAUUAUCAAAUUUUGUGAAGAAACUGGCUUGCCUGUGGCACUAGAUGAGACAAUUGACAAUAUCAGUGGAGAAGCUCUUCAAAAGCUUGAGAAGUUUGUCCAUCCUGGCAUAGUUGCUGUCGUUAUCAAACCAAGUAUGGUUGGAGGAUUUGAAAAUGCCUUACUCAUUGCAAAAUGGGCCCAGAUGCAUGAGAAGAUGACUAUUGUAAGUAGUGCAUUUGAAAGUAGUCUGGGCUUGUCGACAUAUGUAAAAUUUGCUCACUAUCUUGACCAACUCAACAAAUCAAUAUCUGAAAUGCGAAAAGUAAAGCAGACUGCUCCUGCAGCCCACGGUCUUGGAACAUUUCAAUGGUUAAAGGAAGAUGUAUCGACUGAAGGUCUUAGAAUACGUAUUCCUCCACAUGGAAAAACAGUAGAAGCCUCUAUAGGAGAUACUGAUAUCUUCCUUAGAAAUUUUCAGGUAAACCCUGAAGUAAUUCAGAGGAUUUACAGAGGAGAACAAGUCAAGUCGUACAAAUCAGAAGUUGACUGCAAUGGUUUAUCUUGUUCAUUUAAGUUGAUGGAGGCUGGUGGAAAUAAAGAUGGUAACCUUAUCUUUCUUCAUGGAUUUCUCGGGAGCGGCCAAGAUUGGAUUCCAUUGAUGAAAGCUUUUUCUGCUACUACACGAUGCAUCUCUAUUGAUCUUCCAGGGCAUGGAGAUUCUUGUGUUCAAUGGCAUAAGAAAAAUUUAACACAAGAACCUUAUCAAUCAAUCGAAUCAGUGGCUGAAAUGUUGCUGCAAUUGAUUAAUAAUAUUACAAUUGGAAAGGUCAUCCUGGUUGGAUACUCGAUGGGAGGAAGGAUUGCAUUGUACAUGUCUCUGAAAUACUGUGAAAAGAUACAUGGAGCUGUCUUAAUAUCAGGAAGUCCGGGUUUAAGGAAUGAAAAUGCUCAGAGGAUUCGCUUAUCUCAAGAUGAAGCAAGGGCUUCCUACUUAUUGUCUCAUGGACUUAACAGUUUCCUGGAGACAUGGUAUGAAGGCAGCCUAUGGAAAAGCUUAAGGGCUCAUCCUCUCUUCAAUAAGAUAGUAAGGCAGCGUGAAAAACACCAAGAUAUCAGAUCUCUUGCAAAAUCCCUCACUGACUUGAGCACUGGAAGGCAAAGGCCUCUUUGGGAUGAACUAAGGCACUGCAAGAAUCCUGUUCUACUCAUUGUGGGAGAAGAAGAUCUCAAAUUCAGAAGAAUUGCAGAGGAGAUGUGCAACGAAAUCAAAAGCUCUUGUGCUGAUGAAGUCACCGGUCAAGAAGAUUUAUGUGAAAUGGUUAUAGUUCCAGAAUGUGGCCAUGCGGUGCAUUUGGAGAACCCUUUCCCAGUCAUUAAUGCUGUGAGGAAAUUCUUCACAAGAGUGAACAGAAAAUAGCUUCAGUUUCAGAUUUCACUUCUUAGACGAUCGAGUGAAGCAUCCAUAAGCUUAACAUUAAAGCAGUCUUCAUUUAAUCAGAUUGAAAUCCAAUUACCCCUUGAUUGGUCAAGCACUUGAUUUGAUUAUAAAAACAGUGAAUUUGUAAUGAGCUAAUUUAUGUUUGUUUUAUCAUCACAGUUUGUAUUGAGAUGCUUUUUACUAUUAAUUUUUAUUAAUAAUAAAUAGCUUAUUUUGGUCGCC
Molecule: RNA transcript, 5496 nt
Organism: Dendrobium catenatum
Lineage: Eukaryota; Viridiplantae; Streptophyta; Magnoliopsida; Asparagales; Orchidaceae
Gene name: protein PHYLLO, chloroplastic
Exons: 29
Source: RefSeq, a predicted model, not a curated record